UAAUCACAACCUUUUAUACUUAACCUUUUAUCUAAGCUAUUUGAUUUUAUAUUCAAAAUUAACGUAACCAACCUUUUAUACUUCUCCAACCAUCCCAACCAUUUAUAUAGUUUACAUUUAUAUACACGUUCAUCAUCAACAAAACUAAUAAACCUACACUUGAUUUCAUAUUCUUUCUAUGUAACCAACCUUUUCUACUUCUCCAACCAUCCCAAGCAUUUAUAUAGAGUAGAUUUAUAUACACGUUCAUCAUCAAUAAAACUAAUAAACACCUACACUUCCAUAAUCCAAAAGUUCAUCAUCAACAAGACUCUUGAAGGAGACGAUUACCUAAUUAAUUAAUCAGACUAACUUUUCAGUCCCAGUUUCAUCUUCUUGCUUAUCACCACCUGAAAGAGACCAUUACCUAAAUUAUUUGUAGGACCAUUAAGAUCGGUUUACCGGCUCUCGAACAAACCACUGAUCCUAAUUAACAAUCAACCACGGUUAUCUUCAAAAUAAAACAAUUUCAGAUGUAAAAGAAACAAGAUAAUACCAAAUGUUAAACCAAUAAAGAUAAGAACAUAAAUAUUAUGAUAUAUCUUAAAAAUCUUAACAAAUAUAUAUAUGGAUCACGUUAGUUUUGUUUGACAUAAAAUCUUAACAAAAAGUAUAUAUAUAUUUUUUCAAAUUUAUAUACAAAAUCACAGAAAAUAUUCCCUAACUUCUUAAACAACAUUAUGGAAUAUCCUAAUCCGUUCAAAAUACAACCCUGGAACAUCUCAAGCCUACACGCUAUAUAUACCUGUAGUUAUAACACCACAUUAUUAUAACUACAUUUACUCUCCAUUCUUUACAUUAUGCCUCCAAAAGCUAAAAGUUUCGUUAGUGAUAUCAAACCCUGGAAAACAGAGUGGCGAGUUCAUGUCAAAGCAGUUCAUUCAUGGAAACAACAAUCAAAGUUUGGUGGGGAAUCCUUAGAAAUGAUUCUUGCUGAUGAAACUGUGAGACAACAAUCAUUUUCAAACUCUUAUGUGGAAUAAGUGUUUAUCGCGAUUAUUAAUUCGUUUUUUUUUUCAUUAUAGAGUGCUAAGAUACAUGCUUCUUGCAAACAUGGCUUUCUUGCUAAAGUUCGACGAGAUCUUCCUAUUAACGAAUGGAGGGUUAUUGAUACUUUCAAUGUAUCUCCUGCAAGAGGGUAUUACAGAACAACAGCUCACGCAUACAGAAUUGCUAUAACCAAUGACACAUCAAUCGCCUCCUCAGAUGUGAAAAUAGAAACUCCGUUUCUAUCUCUGGCCUCUUUUACAUCUAUCAACAAUGGAGAUCUUGAUCCUGAUUUUCUGAUUGGUACCUAUUUCUUAUUUUAUAUAUUUGUUGUUAAAUCUAUAAACAAUGGUGAUCGUGAUCCUUAUUUUUGAUUUUAUAUUGUAUGUUUUUCAGAUGUAUUUGGACAAGUUGUUGAAAUUGGUGAUAUGCUGACCGUUCAAGUGAGUGGUGAAGAAAGGAAAAAAUGUGAAUUCUACUUAAGAGACACAAGGUAGAUUUUAAACAAUAAUUUAUAAUACGAGAAUUUUAAAAUGCUAUGACCUGGCUUUAUAAAUGUUUAAAAUUUUACAGUGGACACGCAAUUCAAUGUUGUCUUUGGGGACGAUUUGCUAAACAAUUUCAAGUGUCUUGUCAAGAAGCAGAUAAACAGAUCAUUUUAUGUUUGAUCCGUUUUGCAAAGAUAACCUCCUAUAGAGGUUAGUUAAUAUGAAGCGUAUUUUUUUAAUACAAUUAUCCUAAACUAAUUAAUAUUGACUAUGUAGUUUCUUUAUUGUUAUAUAGGAGAGUUACAAGUCACAAAUUCCUUUGACGCAUCUGAUGUGAAAAUCAAUCCAAGCAUUCCUGAAUCUGAUGAGUAUAUGAAGUUGUAAGUGUAUACUUUAGUCUAUGAAAUGUCCAAAUGAAUUGCAAAAUCUAUAGUUAUAAAUGUUUUGUUCGUUAUGCUUAUAUUGAAGGUUAUCCCAAGAUGAUAUGUCCUUGACAACAACUGGGCUUGAUGUAACUAAAAAGAAAUUAAGGCGGAAGAGAGAAGUAUGGCUGACAUAUCCAGUUAAAACCGUAGCCGAAAUGAUAGCCGCAAAAGAGGUAUAUUUUAAUUGUUAUUUUCACAUCAAUCCUGCAACUUGGUCCUUAUUUUUUCUUUCAACAGAUUGAAAAGUGCAGAAUCACGGCUACCAUUUAUGGUAAUGAUACGGACUGGGCUUGGUUUUACUUUGGAUGUUGCCAAUGCACCAAAAAGGUGACAAGGAUCAGACGUGAAAUCGUUUUGGCCAAUUCAACUAAACCAUUGUGGCGUUGUGAUACAUGUCAUGAAAAUGUAUCAAAUGUCGAACCAAAGUAACCAUUUUUUAAUAAUCCUAUAAACAAUUUUUCUUACGAAUAUUUAAAUGUAGUUCUAACUUUGUAUGUGUGAUCUAGGUUCAAACUCCAUAUUCUGGUUAAAGACAACAACAACAAUACUAAGAUGCUGCUUCUUGACAGUGAAGCUCAAAAAGUAGUUGGUUGUAUGGCUAAACAAAUUUGGGAUGGGUCAUACAAUGAGGUAAUUAGAAUAAUAAUUUGUCUCACGUAAGUGUUCAAUUCAAUAUAUUAUCUAAUUUUUAAUAUAGUUGAUGACCAUACUUUUAUCAUUUUUUUAUAAGAUGGAGGAUCCAGAGCUACUACCAGUAGAAAUAGCAGGGGCUGUCGGGAAAACCUUUCACUUUGGAGUUCAAAUCAAUAAGGAUAAUGUUUCUUAUGGUGCUGACACUUAUAAAAUAUCAAAGGUGUGGACUCUUGAAGAAUUGGCUAAAAUUGAAGCUGAAGCAGCCGAAGCUGAUGCAUGCGAAACUGAAGAGCAGGAAAGUGAUGAACCAGUUAUCACCAUGUCUUCAACUAAAUCGUCUGACAAGGUCAAAUAUUCUUAUAUAAUAUAGACUUUUUAUCCUAUAUUUCACUAAUAUUUUUUCUGUGUGGUGUCUACUCAGAGUGAAAUUUCAAGCAAAGAUAUAUCCUAUGGUUUGUAUACUCCAUCAUCUAAGAGAAAAGAGGAAAUAGAUGCGCUGCCUGAUCUCAAUUCCACUAACAAGAAGCAAUGCACCAAGUUAAUAAAACUUGAGAAGGAUAACUUAAACUAGAAGGAAAAAAUGAACUUUAUUUGUUUUCAGUUAUGCUUUCGUUUUUAAAAAUAAGACUAGCUUAGUUUUUGUUUUCUUAUUUGGUUUCAGUUGUGCUUUUGGUUUUUAUAAUAACAUUUAUUCAUGUGUUUUAUUUUGUUUUUUUAAGUAGUUGCUUCUAUCUUUCAAUUCAGUAUUAAUAAAAUAAACUAGAUGAUAACCCGCGCUCUGCACGGACUGAUUUUUUUAAAAUAUAUUGUAUUUAAAUAUUAUAAAUAGUAUACUUUGCUAUGAAUAACUUUUUUUUUACAUUUGAAUCUUAAGAGUGGACACUCGGGUACCAUUUGGUUCGGUUCAAUUUGGCUCGGUUCGGUUUGUUCUGAUCUUUGCGAGUUUGAUUUAAUUCGAAUCUUUGCGGGUUUGGUUUGAGUUUGGAUUCAGAUAACUACUUUAACUUUAAAAACAAAAUAAAAUUCAUAUUUACUUUAAAUAUCUCAAAAUCUAAAAAUAAAAAUAAUAUAUAACAUAUAAAUUUGAAUAAUGUAUGCCAAAAUACUUAAACUUAAAAUAAAAUUUGGUUUAUCUUAAAUAUUUGGAUAUGAAAUAAAUAGAUAUUUUAAGUAAUUUUGGUAUUUUGAGUAUCCUUUAACUAUUUUAAACAUGUACUUUUAACUAUUUAUAUAUAUUUUUAAGUACUUUGGACAACUUAAAAACAUCUUAUAUAUUUUGUAUAUUCUUUAAAUAUUAAAUUUAAAAAUAAUUAAUAUAUUUAAGUAUAUAAAUAUGGUUCGAAUAUAUUCGGAUACCCGAAAUAUUUUGUUUCGGAUCCGGUUCCAUUUUGGUUCUCUAGAUACCAAAAUUUUGAACCCGUUCGGAUAUCUAACCAAUUUUGAUUAAAUUUCAUUACUACCUUUGGUACGAUUCUUUAGAUUCAGAUUUUUUGCCCAAACCUAUACUUUUUAUUGUAACAAAAUUUUAAACGAAAUUGAUGAUGAUUCGUAUUGAUUUUGAGUAUGCAAUCAUUUUUAUGCCAAAAUACAUUCUUCUAUGUACGUGGGACAUCUAGUUAAGGAAAACAAUGGACUGAAUUAAAGAAAACAUUACCAUUUCAGAUUUUUAAUCGACACUUUCAAAUUAUUCAUUUUCGGUAUUGUGACGAAGAGAAAGGUGGUAAAGGUUACGAAAGCAAAUUUGUUGUGCAAUCCAUAUUCUCGCUAGGUGAUUUCAAUAGCUUCUAAAUAAAUCUUUGUUGUAUCGACCGAGAUUUAGUAAUUUAUGGACGUUUUAAAAAAAAUUAAAAUAUAACAUAUAAGAAAAAAAUCUAAUUUUUUUAUUAUAUGGUUAAUGUGAUUGUUUAGUUUAUUUUAAAAAUAUAAACUUUCAAAUAUGAGAGAAUCUCGUGAUAAAUAAAUUGUAUUAAGUUGUUAUCAAUUAUUUGAUGUGCAAAUCAAGUUAGUAUGAAUAAUAUCUUGUUAAGAAUCUUGUAGAUAAGGAUUAUAUUUUUGAAAUAUUUGCUGAAUAAUAUCUUUGUAAUUUUCUUGUAGAUAAGGAUUAUAUUUUCGAAAUUAGUAGUUACAAAUAUUUUUUAAAUAAAUAAUACAUGUAAUUCCUAACUUAUACUCUAUUUUUUUUUAAAUAGAUUUUUAUAAAUAGAUAUCAUAUUUUGGCACUUUUGAAAUUAUAUUAUUGAAGUUUAUAUAAUGACAUGUAUCUCUAAGUCUCUAAGUCAUGUGUUCAUAAUGGCAUGUAAGUUAAAGAGGAACCAAACAUAUACAUGUUCAGUAUAGAAAAAAUUAUAUGAUGUUGAUAAGAGAAAAUUAUAAAUCAACUUAGAGCAAAGUUUAAUCUAUAGUAAAAGAGGUCCAAGUGAGAGUUAUUGAAUUGCUAAUAUAAUUGUAAAUAUACAAUCGGUAUAGUUUAAUAGAGUAGAUAGAACAUAAUUCAAUAGAACAUAAUUCGUUUGGUUGUUAUAAUAUAAUAGAUUGUUGGUUUAAUUUAAGUUAUCUAGUUUUAAUUUUAUUGUAUAAUUAAUUGUAACUAACAGGAUAUGGUCCAUAAAUUAUGUAACACACUAACAAACUUGAAACAGUCCAAAACUUAAAUGACAAUUUCAAUGGUAGAUAAAUUUAGGACUCUAUUUUAAUAGAGUAGAGGGUUCAUGUUUUACUAUUGUUAUUGAAUGUUUAACUAUUUAUGAUAAUUUAUUGAACAAUCUACUCUAUUCAACAAUCAUAAUCACUAAGAAAGAGUCAUUGGUCGUCUUACUUGACUUUUAUGAUCGCCUUGAUAUAUAAGUAUUAACAUCUAUCCCUGAAACUGAAACAAACCUGGUGCAAUAAGAGCACAACUGGUAUUAAUUAAGAGACUCCACUAACAAAACUAAAAAAAAAAUUAAUACUGACGAAGUUAUGAUAUUAUAACGGAUUUUAUAAAAUAUGAAAUCUAACUAUAAUAACUUUAAAUUGUAUCCAAAAUAUAAUUCCUCAACAAUAAUAUAUUUUAUCCAACAAAUUAAUUUAUCCAAAUUCAAUAAAAUCCCAUAGUCAAAAUAAAUGUUAUAUCUGAAUAUUUAAGAUAUUCGAAUAACAGAUAUAGUCAUCCUUAAAUUCAGAAUGCGGUUGAAUAUCUACAUUAUAAAGAUUUAAUAUCUUGACUUCAUUUAACCUCUCCUACAAAAUAUGGAUUCUAUAGUCAAAAUAUAUGUUAUAUUCGAAUAACUUUUCAAUAUAUUCAUCCUUAAAAUCAGAUAUGCAUUAAAAUGCUCAUUCUAUCUACAUUAUAAAGAUUUCAUAUCUUAACUUCAUUUAACCUCUCCUACAAAAUAUGGAUUUUACAGUUCAAGUUAGACUCCUAGAUGGUAUGGAAUAUCCUCACGAUGUUGAAAUGGAAUAUCCACGCGAUCCUCACUAAACCUAUCUUUACUACCAAAUCACUAUAAAACAUAUUCUAACUCCUUAUAUUUUCAACACCUCACGUUUAAAAAUACUGACACAAAAAUGGCUAUUGUUCCAACCGACCAAAUAACUUUGUUGAACCAUGUCAAACAAUUUAAAACAACUUGGAAGGUUGAAGUGAAAGUUCUGCAUCUAUGGACACAACAAUCGAAUGGAGACUCUCUUCAGUUCAUACUCGCAGAUAAGACAGUAAGUGUAUCUAUUUGUUAUGGUCUUAUGUUUCACAAACGCUAUAUUGCUAACUUCUGAACUACAUUUUUUCUAAUGUUAAUAUAGGGUGUUAAAAUUCAUGCUACCUGCAAGAGACCCUUCUUUUCUCGUGUUCAAAAACUGGUGGUUGGACAAUAUAUAUUUAUUGAGAAUUUCUCUCUAACCGCAGCUGCUGGAAAUUACCGACCUACGCGACAUGAAUACAUUAUAUUGAUCACAAGUAACACCAACGUCACCAAUUCUUACUGCAAAAUGAUGACAAUUUUUUGACAUUAACCACUAUCCCAGAAAUUGUGAACGGAAAUCUUGAUUCCAAGUUUCUUAUUGGUAACUUACAAGUGUUUUUGUUUAUAAUCUAUAUGCUUCCUUUUAUAGAUAUUUAUCUUAAUAUUGUUUAUAUGGUUGUAGAUGUUAUUGGUCAUCCAAUAGAUAUUGGCAAUAUUCAGGUUGUCCCAGUGCAAGGUAAAGAAACAAAGAAGUUGGAACUUACUUUGACAGAUUCAUAGUAAGUUACUAAUUAUAUUUCACAAAUAUAUAUUUCAAAUGUUUAAAAAUCUGUGUUUAAUAUAUUACGACCUUUUUCAACUAUUAUCAGCGGUCACCAAAUAGCAACUUGUCUUUGGGGUCUAUGUGCUGAACACGUGUUAUAUGCAUACAAAGUUGGUCAAGUUAAUCAGAAUUUUCUCUGUUUACUGAGAUUUGCUAAAAUCUCAGUGUACAUUGGUAAGAUAUCUACUAAACUAUUAAGAAGUUUAUAUUUAAAAGAUGAUUUUGUGCCCAUAUUGUAAUGUAAUUUUUUUUUGUUGUAGGACAAGUCCAGAUAACAAAUGCAUUUGAAAUUUCAAGUGUGGAGAUAAAUCCACCUGGAUUUAUUCUGCAAGAUUAUAUAAGACUGUACUAGAUUUUGACCCGCGCUUGGAAAGCGCGGGUUUGUUUUCGAAAUUAAAUAUAAAUUUUUGAUGAAUUUCUAUAUAAGAGUAUAAAUUUAAGUACAUUUAUUCGAAACCUCAAAUCGAAUUGUAUCAAACUGAAAAAAAGAACCGAACAGAUCAUAUAUCUUUAGAACUCAAAAUUAAAAUCAAACCAAAAACUGAAUGGGUACCGGAAUAUUUAAAGUACAAAUUAUAUAUUCACAAAUAUUAAUGAUGAUGACUAAUAGUGCAUCAAUACCAUUUAAAUGGUGAGAAGAAAUUUUUUUUAAAAAAUUAUUGAACUAUUUUUAGUGGAGUACAUAUAUGAUUUAUAAACGAAUUAAGAUAUAAGAAAUAUUUUUAUAUCCGAUCCAGAUCUGUGAUCGAACUGGUAAAUAUAGUGGUCGUAUAUAACCCGGACUGGUUUAUGUUUUUCAUGUAGCAUUCUGUCAGAUUUUUUUACAAACUCAUAUGUUUCCACAAAAUUUGUAUUCAAUGAAAACUUAUUAAUUAAAAUCCAAUAAAACCAAAAAAUUCGCUAUUAAUCCGUGGACCGACACCGAUUAACCCGGUAAAACCAUAAUUUUAAUACCUUUUAAACAUUUCAUAUACUUUACAAUACUACAAAAAACUGAAUAAACUAUUUUAUUUGUCAUAUAAAUAAAUUUAUUGUAUUUAUGUUAUGCAUUUUAAUUUAUAAUUUUUGUAUUGAUCAAUACUAUUACAAUUUAAAUGUAUAUUGUUUAUUUAUUUUGUUUAGAAGCAUACAUUGGGUUUACACCUAUUAAUAAAAUUAAAAAUUAGGAUUGAUACAAUGAGAAAUUUUUAAUAGAUCAUGAAUGCAAAGAAUUAAAUUAAUUAAUGGGUAUGUAUAGUCUUUAUCCCAAAACCCAAAAUACCAAAUUUUCAUCAAUGAGAAUUAAUUUUUUUUUGUAAUUUUAAGAACAUUUUGUAAAAUAGUCAUUUUCAUUAAAAGUAGAAAAAUAAUAUUAUAGGUAUUAUUUGUUAGUGUUUCAAAAGGUAUUAUUUGUUAACUUAUAUUUUUGUAGUUGUUAGUAUAUUUAAGAGUCAUUAGAUUUGGUAAUCAUAGUUGGAUUAAAUAUGAUUGAUCUUGUUUAAUAUAGUAUUUUCGUAUAGUUUAAGAAGUCUCUACAUAUUCUUUUGAUUUCUUUAUCACAAUAAUCGUGAUCCCACUGUAUUAGGGUUUUAAUUUUUUUAUGGUAACAGAAAAAAAUAAAUAUGCAUAGUUAGUUAUUAGUCGCAUUUAGUUAGAAUAAUUAAUUGUAUAACUAAAAAUAUAAUAACUUGUUAUAGAUAGGUCCAACAACCUUAUAUAUAGGAGAAGACCAAAAUAUAAUAAAAGGAAAAUAUCCCAACAACUUUCAUAGGUAGAUUUCUCAAGACUGCUUCACUUUUAAUAGAAUAGAUGUUCUAUUAUAGUCUCAUAAUAAUUACAUAUUUUAUUAGGAUCAUACAUAAAUAUAUUAAUGCAAAGUUUACGUAUUACUCUUUAGGAUGCCAAAUGACCUUACUCUCACUGCUGCUGUUCCACAUGUUGUGAAAACGAUUGGAAACCAACGACAACCAGAAACGUGGUCUCUUUAUCCAGAGAGAACAAUUUUAGAAAUCAUAAUGUCAACUAAGGUUCAUUUUCUUAUUUGUAUGUAAACUUUUUGUAUUAUAAGAUACACAUUUACUAACACUAUUGUUAUUUUUGUAGAUUGAAAAAUGCAUUGUUAAGGCAACAAUUUAUGCAAUAGACACAGACUGGGCAUGGUAUUAUUUUGGAUGUGUUAAGUGCCACUUCCAUAAGGUGACCAACAUUACUAAUAAGGAUCUGGUGCCUCUGAAACAUCUUUGGCAUUGUGGUACAUGCCAUCAGUCAGUCACCCAUGUUGCACCUAAUUAUGUUUCUAAAUCUUGAUUCAAUAAUAUAGUUGAUAUAUGUCUUCACUAAUUUGGAAAUUUCUAUUAGGUUUAAACUACAUCUACUAUUAAAGGAUGAAACUGGUGAGUUACCCGUGAUGUUGCUUGAUACUAUUGCUGAACACAUUUUGGGAGUAAGUGCUGAAGUGCUCUUGGAUGGAUCUUUAGAAGAGGUAUGUAUAAGUUGUAGUUGAGAUAUCAUAUUUUGUUUUAUAAAUAAGAUAAUUAUUAAAACUAAUUUAUAUUUCUAUUUAGGUUAAGGAUUUUGAGGACUUGCCUGACACUAUUAAUGAUCUGAUUGGGAAGACAUUCAAAUUUGGUGUCUAUGUGAGCAAAGACAAUGUUGACUACGGAUGCCAUAUAUUUAACAUUGGGGGAACUUGGUCUGCUGAUGAAAUAUUCUCUCAGUCUGACAAUGAUAAUACUGAAGAUACAACCCACAUUGUAGUUUCAUGUGAUCAUUUACCAGGACAGGUUUGUAAUUUUAAUUUUUUUUUUAAAUUAAUAGAUUAACCAUAUUUGUAUUUUUGACCAAAAUAUUCUUUAUAUGUUUCAAUGUUUUAGGAUUCUUCCGUUAGCAUCGAAAAUGCAGCCAACACAUGUUUUUCUUCAACUCCACUAUCAAAACGAAAAGUCCACAAUGAGAUUGAUGACCUUUCUUUCACUUCAAAGAGCAGAUGCUCUAAGAUAAUCAAGGUGAAAAUGAAUGAUGGAGAGUAGUUAAAAGGGGCGUGCAUUUGACGAUUUGGUUGUAUCUUAUGAUCUCAAACAUAUUUUUUUUUAUUUUGCUCUUAUGAUGUUAUCUUCAGUUUGUCGUAUUAGUUUGAUAUUUUUUUUACUAUCAGUUAGGAAAAAAUUUUGAGUUUUAAUAAAAUAAUUGAGUAUUGAUUAUGAUGUCAUUCAUUUUAUAGCACUUCAAGAUAUUCUACUAUGUGUUAUGAUCUAAUAUAUUUUAUAACCUACGAGCAUUUAACGUUAAUAAAUACUUACUUGUCAUAUGCUGUAGUUGAAAUCCCUUUAGACAAUAUAAUAGCAUAAACUAUCCUGAAAAAACAAAACUAAAUGUUUAUACAAUCAAUCCUGUGACCCUUUCAAAGAUUAAUGACUAAGAUACAUUUUAAACCCUUAUACAAUCAAUUACGUCUUCUAAAUUGAUCAACUUAUGUAAGAACAUGUUAUAGUACUAACUUCUUUACGUCUAUUUAUAUAUAAAUAGAGUUUAUAAAAAUUUAGACCUUAGAUGAUCAGAAAGCAUGUUGCUCCUCAUGGAAAUUAAUGGAUUUUAAAAUGUAACUUAAAUAUAUUAUCCAAACAAUAAUAUAUUUAUCCUAACAGAUUAUUUUUUUCCAACUUAUUCUGUUUGAAAUAUCAAUCUCAAAAAAUUUAAAUUAAUUUGGUGAACCCGCCAAGUAACCUUACAGAAUAUUCUAUAAUCAAAACAAAUGACUUACGUGAUCAUUCUCUUUUCUCCACAAAACACACCAAUCGAAAUCUAAGGUUUCCAAUUCUUCAACAAUCGACAUCUAUGACUCUUUCUCAAUAACAUAAUACUUAUAUGUUUGUUUGAUUAGCAGGUCACAAUGAGAAAGAGACAAUAUAAUGGUUUGACCCAAUUCCACAGGGAAAAUGGUCAUAUAUCAAUGGAUAAUACAAGUAAUGCUACUAAUCGUCAAAGUAAUGGUUUACAACAUUCAAAUCGGAAUUCUAUUCAACAUUCAAUACCAUUAAGAUCAGUUUUUAAGCGGAUUUUGGGUGAUCUUAAAAACAUACCUGUAUCUUCUGGUAUUCAAAGGAGUUCCCAAGGAAAUCUCUUUGUGGCUGUUGAACCUACAAAGAAAAGAAAACUCAUAACUGGUAUUAAACUCUAUUGAGAUGAUAACUAAAUAUCAUUAUAUCAUUAUAUCUCAUUGAGAACGUAUUACAAUGCGUUUUAGGGAUUAUGAAAGAAAAUGUCAGAAACUUGCAAUCAGUGAAAAAAAGUAAGCAAAAUCCAGAAAUACCAUGUAAGUUUUACUUCAGUUAUUAUCUACUCUAUUUUAAGUAAAGGGAGUUAAAUGCAACUUCAAACUGACUGUUCGUUUUAUGAACUUAGCCUCAGGUGAACAAAUUUCAGGUGUUAUAUUGGAUGAUGAUGAUGAUGCUGACUUUGAACUAUCAGAUGUUUCAUCUAACGGUAAUUUCGUAAUUAUAUUAGUUUUCUGUGUUGUUGUCAUAAAAUUAUUUUUUCACUCGAGUUACAUUGAAUUUUAUCAGGAACAAUGCGUGACGAUAAUGAUCAAGAGUUUGACUGUAGUAGCAUAGAGAGUACUGAUUCUGAUGAAGAAAAUGCUUAUGUCGUCAACCCAAAAAAAUGAAAACAGAUAAUCACAGAAGUCGGGUCCUUACAAUGGCAGCAUUUAUGAAACAAGCUUUCUACAAUACCAAAUCUAAAACUGCCAAGGUUGCAAAAAAAGAAUGUUGUAAGUUCUGAAACAAAAAUCUACCAUCCUGAAUUUGUAUAUGUAUCAAAACAAAGACUACCAUGAAUUCUUUUUCACCAGACCCAAAUAUGUGUUUUGUAGAUUAUAUUGAUGAAGGUGAUGCAACAUAUAUAUGUGAGCAUUGUGGAGCGUAUAUGUGGUUUGGGGAGCGUAUAAACAAGAGUAUGAAGUCAAGAAAACCCAUAUUUACUCUAUGUUGUAUGCAAGGUCAAGUUCAGUUGCCUCUUUUAAAAAAAACCCCGGAGCUAAUGGAAAGGCUACUUAAUGGAGAUGAUAAGCUCAGCAAACAUUUUCAAAGGAAUACCCGGCCUUAUAACAUGGUAUUUUCAUUUACUUCUAUUGGAGGGAAGAUAGAUCGUUCUCUUCCAAAAGGGUUAGGACCAAAAAUGUUUCAGCUUCAAGGUGAAAACUACCAUAGACUGGGGAGUUUGAAACCUCCAGAUGGUAAUUCUGCAAAGUUUGGUCAGCUAUACAUUGUCGACACAAAGAAUGAGGCAGAGAAUAGAGUUAACAUAUUAAGGUAUUAUCUAAAUGAGUUUUCCGAUGAUUCAUAUUCUUGGCAUGUUAAGUUAAUUCAAUACUUAUUUGAUUACAUUAACAAUGUUUACAGCAAAGGCAAGAAAGAUGGUUUGAAAAAGGAGAUCAUCCAGAAAAUAAUAGCUAUGCUAGACGAAGUCAAUCCAUAUGUCUCCAAAUUUCGACAAGCUAGACACAGAUUGGAUGAUAAUCCUAAGAGUACUCUACAUAUGAGGAUUGUUAGUGACCGUUUAAAAGAUGGAAGGACAUAUAGCAUGCCAACUGCUUCUGAAGUCGCAGCACUAAUUCCAGGGGAUUUUCAAUUAGGAAUGGAUAAGAGGGACAUUGUUAUUGAGGAAAAAUCAGGGAGGCUACAAAGAAUAAGUGAAAUUCAUAUUUCAUACCUUGCACUACAGUAUCCUCUGAUAUUUGUUUAUGGUGAGGAUGGUUUUUGACUUGGUAUUAAGAAGGGUGUCACAGAAGCUAACAAGAAGCUGAAGAAAGAUACAAUUAGUAUGAGACAGUUUUUUGCUUUCAGGAUUCAAGAUAGAGAAAAUGAGUCUAAUGUUCUUCUGAAAUCAAGAAGGUUGUUUCAACAAUUUCUGGUUGAUGAUUACACAACCAUUGAGAAAACAGGCUCCGUUAUCUCAAGUUUAACCAGACUUGCUUGCGAUCCGACAGCUAUGAUUCUAUUAAAGAAUCUGAAAGUGCAGGCAACAUCGAUAUGCAUGAACAAGGUCAGCAGUUUAUAUUGCCAGCAACUUUCACAGGAAGUCCUAGAUACAUGAGGAAUAACUAUCUUGAUGCAAUGACCAUUUGCAAGCAUUUUGGUUUCCCUGAUCUAUUUAUCACUUUCACUUGCAAUCCAAAAUGGCCAGAGAUAACUAGAUAUGUACAGAAACAUGGAUUGAAGGCUGACGACAGACCUGACAUCAUUUGUCGAAUGUUUAAGAUGAUGCUAGACUCUUUGAUGGACGAUUUAACGAAGAAGAAACUUUUGGGAAAAACUGUUUCAUGUAUGUACUUCUGUUUCAAGUUAUUAAAUUCUGUGUAUCAAAUUUUUGGACUAACUCGAUUGCUUUCUUCAUUUUUUCAGCUAUGUAUACAGUAGAGUUUCAGAAACGUGGACUUCCUCAUGCUCACAUCCUACUUUAUAUGCAUCCUGACUCGAAAUUUCUCACUAUUGAUGACAUAGAAAAUAUCAUAUCUGCUGAAAUACCAGAUAAAGAUGAAGAGCCAGAGCUGUAUAAUGUUGUUAAGGACAUGAUGAUUCACGGUCCAUGUGGAGCUGCCAACAUGAAUUCACCAUGUAUGGAAAAUGGGAAUUGUGAGAAGAAUUAUCCUAAACGACAUGCAGAGAAAACUACAGUUAACAAAGAGGGCUUUCCUGUGUAUAGGCGACGUGAACAAUCAGGUGUUUAUAUUGAGAAAAACGGCAUUAAACUCGAUAACAGAUGGGUUAUCCCGUAUAACAAGAAGCUGUCUCUUCGUUAUAGAGCUCACAUCAAUGUCGAGUGGUGCAAUCAAGCUGGUUCUAUUAAAUACUUAUUUAAGUAUAUUAACAAGGGAGCAGAUCGGGUCACUGUAGCAGUAGAACCACCAGAGAUGGAUGCAUCAAAUAAUGUUAUUGCUGGAGAAGGUGUGGUGAAUGAAAAGAAGAAUGAAAUAAAAGACUUCUUCGAUUGCAGGUGAUUGAUGCAUUCUACAUUUUAAUUACGAUUUUAUAUUGGUAAAUGACUAGAAAGUAUGAAUCCUAACUAUUGUCUUUAUUGUAUAGAUAUGUUUCAGCUUGUGAAGGUGCCUGGAGAAUUUUUAAAUAUCUGAUUCAUUACAGAUCUACUCCGGUUGAGAAACUCACAUUCCAUCUACCCGGAAAACAAAGUCAUUUUCAAAGGUAAAGACAAACUUCAGGACGUUGUCAGCCGCGAACUCAUUGAGAAUACAAUGUAUCUAGCAUGGUUUGAGCUGAAUAAAGUGGAUGCUUUCGCUAGGACUCUAACUUAUGCUCAGAUCCCCAACUUCUAUACAUUUGAUAAGAGUAAAAAGAUGUUCAAAAGACGAAAACAAGGAUUUAGUGUUGGAAGAAUCAAUUAUGCUCCGUGCAAGCAAGAGGCAGCCUAUUAUUUAAGAGUGUUAUUGAACAUUGUUAAAGGUCCUACCAGUUUUCAAGACUUGAAGACCUAUAACAAUGUAGUAUAUGCUGAGUACAAAGAUGCAUGUUUUGCUCGAGGUUUAUUGGAUGAUGAUCAAGAGUAUAUUGAUGAUUUAGCAAGGCACAGUUUUCAAAGUUCUGCAUCCUUUGUUAGAGAGAUGUUUGUGAUGAUGCUAAGCUCUGAUAGUUUGGGUCAACCAGAGGUUGUCUUCAAACAAACUUGGGAACUAUUGUCAGAAGACAGUGAGUAUCAUCAUAGGAAACGUCUGAAAAUACCAGGUAUCAAAUUAUCACUUUUUUGGCUUUUUAUGUUAUCACUUUAAAACACGUGACUUAUCAUUUCUAAAACAUAUAUUGUUCUCAUUCUGUUACUCAUGAUAUAUGUUUUACAGGACUUAUUUUAACUGCUGAAGAGAAACAACAAUUUGCUCUGGUAGAGAUUGAGAAGCUUAUGAAAAGGAAUGAGAGUUCUUUAUCGUUGUAUGAAUCUAUGCCAAAGAUUCAAAGCCAUAGUAGUCGGAUGGAAAAUGUAUUGAUAUUCGAUGAACGUAACUACAAUCUUGAAGAAUUGAGAGCAGCUCAUGAUAGAGAUAUACUUAGGAUGACGGAUGAACAUAAGAAGAUAUAUGAUGAGAUCAUUGGUGCUGUUGAUGCUGAAAGAGGUGGAAUGUUCUUUGUUUAUGGAUUUGGUGGCACCGGAAAGACAUUUUUGUGGCGAAUCCUUUCAGCUGCAAUAAGGUGUAAGGGAGAUAUAGUACUGAAUACUGCAUCUAGCGGAAUUGCUUCUCUAUUGUUACAAUGUGGUAGGACUGCUCAUUCCCGGUUUGGCAUACCCAUUAAUCCAGACGAGUUUACCACAUGUAAUAUUGUUCAUGGCACACAUAAGGCUAAUCUUAUAAAGGAAGCAUCACUUAUCAUAUGGGAUGAAGCACCCAUGAUGAGCAAGUAUUGUUUUGAAUCUUUGGACAGAAGUUUAAAGGAUCUUAUGGGAAAUCAUAGAAACAAGCUAUUUGGUGGAAAAGUAGUUGUGUUUGGAGGUGAUUUUCGUUAAGUACUUCCAGUCAUCACCGGAGCUGGUAGGGCAGAGAUUGUAUUGGCUGCAAUGAAUUCUUCAUAUCUUUGGGAGCACUGCAAGGUCUUGAAGCUCACAAAAAACAUGCGAUUGUCUUCCAAUAAUCUGACUGAUGAGGAAGCAAAUGAUCUUAAGGAAUUUUCCAACUGGAUUUUGGACGUUGGCGAUGGAAAGAUUGAGGAGCCAAAUGAUGGGGAGGUUCUGAUAGAUAUUCCUGAUGAGUUUUUAAUAAUUGACCCCAAGGAUCCUAUUGAGACUAUAAGCCAUGCUAUUUAUGGAAGCAGUGAUUCCCUCAGAGAGUUACAGGAUCCUAUAUUUUUUCAAGAGAGAGCAAUCUUAUGUCCAACUAAUGAGGAUGUUAAUAUGAUUAAUGAUCAUAUGUUAUCUAAACUUGAUGGUUAGUCAACACUUUCUAUAUAAUGUAAACAUUGAUAUGCGCCUUAGACCUUAACGUUUUCUUUAUUGAUGUUUUUUCAGGUGAAGAAAUGAUCUAUAUUAGUUCUGACAGUAUUGAUCCAUCCGAUUUGACCUCAGAAAAUAAUCAAGCACUCAGUACUGAUUUUUUGAACAGUAUUAAAGUUUCUGGACUGCCAAACCAUAGUUUGAGAUUGAAGAUUGGUUGUCCUGUUAUGUUGCUCAGAAAUAUUAAUUCUACAGGGGGUUUAAUGAAUGGAACCAGACUGCAAAUAACAGAGAUGAUGGAUUUCAUGGUUGGUGCUAGAAUACUUACUGGGGAGAAAGUCGGUGACAUAGUUUAUAUUCCUAGGUUGUUGAUACAUCCAUCAGAUAAGAAACUUCCUUUCAAAAUGCGAAGAAAACAAUUGCCUUUAGCUGUUGCUUUUGCAAUAACUAUCAACAAAAGCCAAGGACAAUCACUCUCUCAAGUUGGUCUAUUUCUUCCUAGACCUGUGUUUUCACAUGGACAGCUCUAUGUUGCAAUUUCUAGGGUGACCUCAAAGAAAGGAUUGAAAAUCCUUAUUGUGGACAAGGAUGGAAAGCCUCAGAGGAAGACUAAGAAUGUUGUUUUCAAAGAAGUGUUUAACAACCUUGAAAACGAAGAUCAGGAUUGAAAGUUGACUUGAUUUUGUUUCUAUGGUUGAACAAUGUUAUGAAUUUGUUUUUAAAGUUUAAGCUCUUUUGAACCUUCUAAGUUUGGUAUAAUUCUCAUGUUUUAUCUAAGUUUGAUGCAGUGUUAUUUCUUUUGUCCAUGAUCCAUGCAAAACUAAGCAUACCACGAGCAUUAUCACACAUUCAAGUAAUUCAUUUUAAAUCUCCAAAAAAAAAAAGAAUGAUAUAAGAGUAAUUCUAAGCCAAAAACUACUUAGAAAAAAAAUGAACAAGCCGUUCUAAACUAACCAGUCAAUUCAUAAUAGUAUGAAUCCUAUACUAUUUCUUUAGUUUUGAGUAACUAACCUUAGUAUUCGUUAUAUGAAUGUACUGGCCAAUUUAUAAUUCUUUGAUGAUUGUGGUUACAUUCUUAGUUUCUGGUCAAUUCACCAUGUACCUGAAACAAAGUUGUCGUAUAAAUCAUAUUAACAACAAUUAUUACUAAGAAUGAAAGAUAUAAGUCGUAUUGUUCCAUAUCCAAAGAAUUUCUGUGAUAAUAUUCUGAUUAAUCAUUAAGCUAGACAAUUAAGCAUCUAUUUCUUAAAACAGUUAGUAAAAUUCUUGCUAAAAUUGCAUUUAUAGCUUAACGAUUAUAUAAAGCAUCAAGAUAGAGACUUGGACUUAUCUUUGAGGCUCUCUUAUUGUAGAACCACAACUUCCUUCUAUUCUCCUAUCA
This 17126-nucleotide long non-coding RNA is filed under the name Brassica napus (rape). RNAcentral describes it as "long non-coding RNA (BNAP_LNC007617)". Lineage: Eukaryota; Viridiplantae; Streptophyta; Magnoliopsida; Brassicales; Brassicaceae. The record is from RNAcentral.